Molecule: long non-coding RNA, 3008 nt
Filed under: Podarcis lilfordi (Lilford's wall lizard)
Lineage: Eukaryota; Metazoa; Chordata; Lepidosauria; Squamata; Lacertidae
Source: RNAcentral
GUCAGAAAGAGGGUGUUCUUUUAGGGCAGGGAGCCCAGUACAUAACAGUUAUUGUAGAACACAAGGUGAGGGGAGUGAACGGGACAGUGAGUGGCCGAGUCUGUCCAAAGUCACAGGCCUCUGGAGGAGUUUAGUUGGGAGGGGGGAAGUGGAAGGUAGCUUGAUCAGUGAGAUGUUCAUCCAUGAAUACUGAAGUCGUGAAGGGGCAAGGGUCGAGUGUUGUGAAAGAGAAGAAAGGUAAACAAAGGGCCAAGAUCAGUUAAGAGUGUAGAAGUAGGUCCAACAGCAAAGGGGGAGCACAAAGGUACAGAAUAAAAUUUCAAAGGUAAAAAGCAAUUGGUAGCUGGAAGCAAUUUGGGAAGAGGCCCCGCCAUUUUGACUGACAAGAGUUUGGGGACUAAAAAAAAAGGAGAGACCUCUGAAGAAGAAAUCAGCCGUGGGGCUGGGGCUGGUGAGAGCAAGUGAGGGAAAAGCAAAAGGGUAGAGAUGUAGACAUCAUAAGGUACAGUUCAACUGAAGGAAUGGUUGGACACCAAACGAGCACCAUAUGGUCUAGGGUCCAAAGCGCAUGUUCUGUUUGCUGCAUAUCUGUAUACAAGGAAAAAAUGUUGCUGAAAUGAAUUGGGAAGCAUUUUUCCACAGUGCAAAUUGCAGGCACAGGCCACCAAAUCUGGAUUGGGGCCAUAGUAGUGGACAAAGGUUAACCCCCCCCCCCCCAAUUCUUCCAUGCUAGGGUUCUCAUCUGAACUGGUUCCCCGCAUUCCCAGUCUGUGCUGGCUACGAAUGGCUAGCCAGUUUGCAAGGUCAGUAGUCCAUAGUUUAGCUCUAAAUGUUUGCCUCAUUCAUUACUGUCUUGGUGGGGAAAAAAGGCUUUAUGUUUUUAGCUAUUUUAGGAUAGCAUAUAACUGAUGUUUCUUGUUUUCCGAACAUGUGUUGUUCAUUUUCUUAGUAGCAAAAAACAAAACAAAAAAACCCUCAGUCAAUAUGUCACUGUUUUCAUUUUUAAAACCACCUCCAAUAAUAACCCCCGCCUCCCCAUCAGCAUAUUGGCUCCGGAUGUUCCUCUGUCACUGUGGAAAACCCAGAGCUAAUUUUGACACUUGCUCAGUUUGGGAAGAUGAUUCUUCAUUCUGCGUGGCUUGCAGCUAUAUCUGUAGAGCCAUUUCAUAAUCAUCCGUCUUUUGCUUGAAUUUGAUCACAGCCGCUGAAUCCCCUGCGUUGGUAAUGAAGCCUUAAGGUUGUCUUUUCCUCAGCAUAAAUCCAUCCCAGAGACCUUACUUUGACAGAGUGUGUGUGUGUGUGUGUGUGUGUGUGUGUGUGUGUUUCAGUACGAAUGAAUGUGUGGAGCUGAAAUUGCUCUGCUUUCUUUACAAAUGACUCAGUGUGCUUGUCCUUCCCUAAAAUGCUGCCAGCAUGUAAAGGAUUUUCAAUGAGCAGUGCAAAUAAGCCGGCAGCAGAGAAGGUUUGGAGCUGCACUGUGUAACAGUUUACUGUCACACAGAUGAUCAGGGUUGGAGAGCCAAGCCUCUGUAGUGUUCACCAUACCUCUUUCUGCUCACAUACUGGAAGUUUUGUGUUUCUAACCUGGUUUCUUUUAUGAGCUGGAUAUUUAGUACUACCAAAAUGUGGAGUGGACUUCCUAGCAGAGGUGAGCAAUGAAUUUUAUUAUUAUUAUGAGUAAGCGUUACAGAAUUGCUUUGAGGCACAUUCCUAUACAUUUAUCCCAUGCUUGGCAUCAUUUCUGUAUGUGUGUGGAAGUGGAAUUUUGUGUUUCAUUUGUGCUGGCAGAGACAACACAAAAGGCUAGAAAAAUAAUGAGAAAAUGAUGACAUUGUAAACGUGAACUCCUUUCGGUUUCCUGUCAUUUUACUUGCAGAAGAGGCUGUUCUAGCUCUUAGUUAUUUCAAAUAUAUCAGAAUCCAUCUAUUGGUACAAUAUGACAUGCUAAUCAUUAAUUGAUGAGGCUAAUCAUCAGCGAGAUUGUAUACUUGUGAUCAAAAAUGAUAUGCAGGGCACUGAACCCUACUUAGCCGAAAGCUUGACUCGUGGAAGGGAUAUUAUACAGGAGAUAAAUUACUAACAUGACUUGCAACUAAUAAAAUAAGAUAAAAGCAAUGGACUGCAUACUGGAGUAAUGAAAACUGGAGUCUGACUCUGUGAGUAUUAAACGGUAUGACCUGUCAGUCACAGGACAACCUCCACUAAUUCAUUUGCAAUGACAACUUGUUUUAUGAGAGGCAUAAAAUUACUGUCACUGCCAUCUAAGCAUGCUUUAAUUAAAUAUGACAUUUUAAGUGCUGCACAUCUUUCUUUUUUUUAAAGCAGAAAUAUAUUGCUGAAACUAAUUUGUGAAGUUCAUAUCGCCCACCCCUUAAGUUUCAAAACAUUCUGGCAGAGGAUUAAGUUAUGUUUACUUGUCUAAAAAGUUCUAGCCAAUCACUUCAGUGUGAAUAUUAUUCAUUAAACCUUGCUGUGGGCUUCCUUAUCUUCAUUGAGGUAGGUGUUGUUUUAGUUAUUUGUUUUAGGUCUGGGUAGUAUUGUCCCCAAUGAAGAGAAAAUUACAAGCUAGCAUUAUGAAACUGGCAUUUCUUCUUACAAAAUAACUAAGUAGCUUUGCAGAUCUUUCAGUAGAAACUAACCUAUCUAAUUCUUUCCCCAUUAAAUUUAUUCAUGAAGUAUUUGUUUUUAUAGCUCCCAACGACUGAGUUACAGAUAAGAACAUGUUUGUUUGACUGAAGAUUUGAGAAUUUCCAUUUACUGGCAGUACACGUAAAGCAUGGCUAACCAGGAGCAAACCCAUUUGUAUUAGCCAAUCUGUCUUUGCAAGUCCCAGGGCCACUAUCUUGCUAGAAGCCACUGUGUGCUUUUGAAAGCAUGAAAUUAGUUUUAUACUGAGCACAUGGUUUCUCAUUUAGCAGCUCUUUUUAUGGAAAUGGUCAAUUUAUAGUUCACUGCCAGGAUUUCGGCCUUCUGUCAAAGCUGAUAGAUUCGGCUAAGGUGUCCAUUGG